Molecule: non-coding RNA, 160 nt
Filed under: Scleropages formosus (Asian bonytongue)
Lineage: Eukaryota; Metazoa; Chordata; Actinopteri; Osteoglossiformes; Osteoglossidae
Description: Eukaryotic large subunit ribosomal RNA
Rfam family: Eukaryotic large subunit ribosomal RNA
Source: Rfam by way of RNAcentral
GAUAACUGGCUUGUGGCGUUGACGCGAUCACAGUGACAUCACUUUCUGAUCCUUCGAUGUCGGCUCUUCCUCUCAUCGUGAAGCAGAUUUGACCAAGCGCAGGAUUGUUCGCCCUCUAAUAGGGAACGUGAGCUGGGUUUAGAGCGUUGUGAGACUGGUU